UAGGGAAUAUUGCGCAAUGGGGGCAACCCUGACGCAGCGACGCCGCGUGAGCGAAGAAGGCCUUCGGGUCGUAAAGCUCUGUCCUAUGGGACGAGAGAGGAUGGUACCAUAGGAGGAAGCCCCGGCUAACUACGUGCCAGCAGCCGCGGUAAUACGUAGGGGGCGAGCGUUGUCCGGAAUCACUGGGCGUAAAGGGUGCGUAGGCGGACUGUUAAGUCUGAUGUGAAAGACCAUGGCUUAACCAAGGGAAUGCAUUGGAAACUGGGAGUCUGAGAGUGCAGGAGAGGGAAGCGGAAUUCCCGGUGUAGCGGUGGAAUGCGUAGAUAUCGGGAGGAACACCAGAGGCGAAGGCGGCUUCCUGGACUGUAACUGACGCUGAGGCACGAAAGCUGGGGGAGCGAACAGGAUUAGAUACCCUGGUAGUCCCAGCCGUGAACGAUGGAUACUAGGUGUUGGCGGUUCAGACCGUCAGUGCCGGAGCAAACGUGAUAAGUAUCCCGCCUGGGGAGUACGGUCGCAAGACUG
Molecule: ribosomal RNA, 525 nt
Filed under: uncultured bacterium
Lineage: Bacteria
Description: bacterial SSU rRNA
Rfam family: Bacterial small subunit ribosomal RNA
Source: RNAcentral